GACGAACGCUGGCGGCGUGCUUAACACAUGCAAGUCGAACGGUGAAGCGCCUUCCUUUUUGGUGGGUGUGGAUGAGUGGCGAACGGGUGAGUAACACGUGAGUAACCUGCCCCCUUCUUCUGGAUAACCGCAUGAAAGUGUGGCUAAUACGGGAUAUUCUGGGUCUGUCGCAUGAUGGGUCUGGGAAAGAUAUUGUUUCGGUGGGGAUGGGCUCGCGGCCUAUCAGCUUGUUGGUGGGGUGAUGGCCUACCAAGGCGGUGACGGGUAGCCGGCCUGAGAGGGUGGACGGUCACACUGGGACUGAGACACGGCCCAGACUCCUACGGGAGGCAGCAGUGGGGAAUAUUGCACAAUGGGCGCAAGCCUGAUGCAGCGACGCCGCGUGAGGGAUGGAGGCCUGCGGGUUGUGAACCUCUUUCGCCAGUGAAGCAGGCCUGCCUCGUUUGUGGGUGGGUUGACGGUAGCUGGAGAAGAAGCGCCGGCUAACUACGUG
RNAcentral lists this ribosomal RNA (493 nucleotides) under uncultured bacterium. Its description in RNAcentral is "partial 16S ribosomal RNA". It matches the Rfam family "Bacterial small subunit ribosomal RNA", at positions 28 to 507 of the family's 1533-position model. The record is from RNAcentral.